This 467-nucleotide ribosomal RNA is filed under the name uncultured bacterium. Its description in RNAcentral is "partial 16S ribosomal RNA". It matches the Rfam family "Bacterial small subunit ribosomal RNA", at positions 28 to 507 of the family's 1533-position model. The record is from RNAcentral.
GACGAACGCUGGCGGCGUGCUUAACACAUGCAAGUCGAACGAUGACGACCGAGCUUGCUCGGUCUGAUUAGUGGCGAACGGGUGAGUAACACGUGAGCAACCUGCCCUUCACUCUGGGAUAACCUCGGGAAAUCGGGGCUAAUACCGGAUAUGAGCUCCUGUUGCAUGGCGGGUGUUGGAAAGUUUUUCGGUGAAGGAUGGGCUCGCGGCCUAUCAGUUUGUUGGUGGGGUAGUGGCUCACCAAGGCGAUGACGGGUAGCCGGCCUGAGAGGGCGACCGGCCACACUGGGACUGAGACACGGCCCAGACUCCUACGGGAGGCAGCAGUGGGGAAUAUUGCACAAUGGGCGGAAGCCUGAUGCAGCGACGCCGCGUGAGGGAUGACGGCCUUCGGGUUGUAAACCUCUUUCAGCAGGGAAGAAGCGAAAGUGACGGUACCUGCAGAAGAAGCGCCGGCUAACUACGUG